CCUACGGGUGGCAGCAGUGGGGGAUAUUGCACAAUGGGGGGAACCCUGAUGCAGCGACGCCGCGUGAGCGAAGAAGUACCUCGGUAUGUAAAGCUCUAUCAGCAGGGAAGAAAAUGACGGUACCUGACUAAGAAGCCCCGGCUAAAUACGUGCCAGCAGCCGCGGUAAUACGUAUGGGGCAAGCGUUAUCCGGAUUUACUGGGUGUAAAGGGAGCGCAGGCGGCCUGCCAAGUCUGGUGUGAAAACCCGGGGCCCAACCCCGGGCCUGCAUUGGAAACUGGCGGGCUGGAGUGUCGGAGGGGCAGGCGGAAUUCCUAGUGUAGCGGUGAAAUGCGUAGAUAUUGCGAAGAACUCCGAUUGCAAAGGCAGCAUACCGGCGGCGAUCUGACGCUGAGGCACGAAAGCGUGGGUAUCGAACAGGAUUAGAUACCCUAGUAGUC
This 440-nucleotide ribosomal RNA is filed under the name uncultured bacterium. RNAcentral's name for it is "partial 16S ribosomal RNA". It matches the Rfam family "Bacterial small subunit ribosomal RNA", at positions 338 to 795 of the family's 1533-position model. The record is from RNAcentral.